AGGACGAACGCUGGCGGCGCGCUUAAUACAUGCAGGUCGAGCGAGAACCGGACCUUCGGGUCCGGGGAAAGCGGCGAACGGGUGAGUAACACGUGGGUAAUCUGCCCUCGGUACUGGGAUAGCCCGGGGAAACCCGGAUUAAUACCGGAUAGCCUUUCGAGCUCUCGGGCUCGUUAGAAAAUGGUGGCUUCGGCUUCCGACUGAGGAUGACGCCCGCGGCGGAUUAGCUUGUUGGUGAGGUAAUGGCUCACCAAGACUCCGAUCCGUAGCUGGUCUGAGAGGACGAUCAGCCACACUGGGACUGAGACACGG
RNAcentral lists this ribosomal RNA (312 nucleotides) under uncultured soil bacterium. RNAcentral's name for it is "bacterial SSU rRNA". It matches the Rfam family "Bacterial small subunit ribosomal RNA", at positions 26 to 329 of the family's 1533-position model. The record is from RNAcentral.